ACCGCGACACCGCCUGCCGUCACGUGGGGAGGAGCGGCGGCCAAUCAGAGCGGCCGCAGAAGCGGCGCUGCACGCUGGGAAUUGUAGUCCGGUCCCCUGGGGCGGGUGGUGAGCGGUGAGGUGCCCGGAGGCCGAGGUCCAGCCGGCCCACGCGGGGCAGGGUCCCAGAUGUCGCUCGGGAGCCCCGCAUUCCGCACUGGCGAGGGCAAAGCCUCCACCGAUCGCUUUGUCAUCUGCUUGUCCCCGCCCUUGCCCCGACCCUUCACGCGAUGCACGUGUGCAGCCCCGAGGCCUGCAGGCCAUGUGGGGCCUCCCUGAGCACGGCUGUGUAAGGUGCUUGAUAGAAGGGCUCGCACAGCUUACUCCAACAAGUCCCCACAGCGACAGGCUGAGGACCAGAAAUCCUGUUAUCAGCAGUAGAACGUUUCCUGUGAAAGCAAAGACUUCCUCUUCAAUCUCUGUCUUAAAAGGGAACAAGCACUCUCCCCUCCACUCCCACCAUUACACAAGAAUGGGAUCUUAGGAAGAAGUGCCCUGUGGCCCACCAUCCUGGUACAUACCAGCUGCCUGUGCUUUCACAUGACCAGACUGAAGGCCUUUGAAAACAAAUAUGGAUUUGAAUGAUAUGUGACAUGGCCAAAUAUUAUCUUGAAACCAUUCUCAUCAGCAUGGGAUUUUUGAGGUACUUUCAAGGGAAUGCAUACACAGAUUGAAACAAUGGAGAGGAUAACAAGCCCUGGCCACAGGAGAAGCAGCUUAGUAUGAAGACCCAAGUGCUGAAACAGCAAGAAGUUAACAAUGACAGACAUGCUGCUGAAAACUGGAACUAUCUAAGAGCCCUGAGUUCAGUUUGACUCUGCUUCCCAGGACCUAAGUACAUUCAUCUUCCUUUCCUGCAAGUAAGUGAUGAAGGAUGUACGGAGAUAUGUAAAGAACCAGACAGUGGCGGAAAUAAGGAACUGAGGAAUCAGGCAAGCAGGAUCAUGGGCUGCAGACACAUUGAGGAGCAGCUGAGAGAGGUACCUGGAGCUGGGGCUGUCCUUGUGUUCCCCGUCAGCCUGGGCAACCCCUGAGAUCCUGGCACCUCUGGUCCUGGGGAGAUGCCAGCCUGCACAGUGCCAUGACAGAUCAACAGCAAAGAGACUGCUCAGAAUUGUACAUGGGGUGACAAAAAACACAGUGGAAUAAGUCAAUGAAGAGUCAGAAGAAUCUGCAGAGGAAAUUGGAGGACAGACGACGAUUUUGGACACAUCAGUAAUUAGAGACCUUUUUCAACUGCCACAACUCUUCAAAAAUGACAGAGUGACCUUGCCAGCACUUGCUUCUGCAGGACUCUUACGUUCAUUAGUAACAAAGCAGUGAGAAGAAUACCUGUCAGAUUUUGAUUGCCUCUAAACUUCCCAAACACAUGGGAGCAAGUGAAUGUUCUAUCAGUGGUGCUGGUUCCACAACUGUGAUGUAAAUAAAUCCCAGGUGUUGUGAUGUUACAUAUUUGACCACACAGCUGCUAACACUUUCCUGUGAUGUGCAUCUUCAUAUUUGUAGGAGCUUCCUAUCUAUAAGAGGUCCUGUUUUCACAUCAGAACUUGAGAAGAAUAAGGGAGAUACCUGUGCUAUCUUCAUGAAUCCUGGUUAACUCUACAUCUGUCUCAUGAAUUUUAAGAGAGUCCUACAUAAAAUUCUAUACACAAGGUAUUGCGUGCAAUGCAAAACAAUAUUGGCCUCAACUGCUCAGGACUGGAAGACCAGGAAUGUUAGGAACCAGCUGCAGAAGAAAGUAACCUCUCCAAAUACCUCCAGUAUCAAAAUCUAAAUCAAAGACAGCUUUGAAAUGGGUAAAAAGCCUUCUGAUGACCUCAGAGGGGAACUGUAGUGGUCACACUCUGAGAUCACUGAUAGUUUUUUAACAUCUCCUGAAAGGACUCAGAUGUCAGCAAGAUGAGGAAUCAGAGUGGUGCACCACCUGGUAGUCAAUGAAGCAGUGCAAAGACAGGAGCACUGUGAAUCUGCUGCAGACACCACCUGUAGAAGUUAGACACCAAGUGGGGCAUCCUGCAUGCUUAAAUGUGCAUUAUUUAUACAAACUGUGGAGAAAAUACAGCCUUAUUAUUUGCACUGUUCCUUUAAGGAGGUGACAGUCCUCUGUUGUAUAGGUACAUGCUGUACUGCUAGAGCUCUGAUCUAAGAUUGGUGCUACUGAAGAUGUCUUUCCCAAGUCAAACAGUUUUAUAACACACAUUUAGCUACAGUAACAACAUUAAGAUUGCUGUAUUUUCCCAAAUCGUGACAUGAGGAGGGGAAAUUAUCAUAUUUGAAAUGCAAGGAAGGACUUUGUGAGAAUGCACUGAAAGCUAAAUCAGGACUGCUCCCAGCUGUGUUUCCGGAGGCAUGUUUAUUCCACUACCUUACUGAAUCACCUUGAGCAAGAUAUUUAACCUCCUUCUUUCUACAUCUAUCUCUCUAGAAAACAAAAAUAAUUCCUAAAACACAAGCUUUUCAAGCUGAUCUAAAGCCCAGCAGAAUGAAUGAUGGUUACUCAUUUCUAAGGGUCUUGACUCCAGCCUUCAGUCAAUUAUUUAACUAGUUAAUGUUUGUAACUAUCAGUGCUGUUAUUACUUUGUAUGACUAUAAAUGACAUGGGAGGUUGUUACUGUUAGGUAAGCAGCAAUGGACAUAAGUGGAUUUUUCACUUUAUUUUAUUUUUUGCAUGGAGCAGCGCAUGAACUGCUAUAAACCUGUCCCAAAUUUAAAAUAGCACAAAUAGUGGUAACUGUGCAGCUGUGUUCUGGCUUGUUAAUAUUCACGAAUGGUAUGAAUUUGAAUACAUUAAAACUUUUCAUUUAGACAUCAAAAUGUUGACUCACCUGAAUCUUAAUAAUUUUUUUUUCUAUGGUUCAUUUUGGCAUCAAAUGUGUAGCUCACUAUUGCAGUGAUGGGUGGGGACAGCUCCUGGCAUUUGGGUUCAGAGCAGCUAAGAGAGGGGAUGUGGCAGAUGUUAUGGGCAAGCACUAGCUCAUUGUGAAUUCCCCUCAAGAAAAAAUGCUAAGCCUUUGAUGAGCUCUAAUAAAUAAUUAGCAGCAGAGAUAAAACAAGAGUACUGAUGCCUCAUGCUGAAAAUGGGUUCUGAAUUCACUCUCACCCUGUGCAACAGUCCUGGCUGCAGCAGGGAUACUUCCCAGCAGCACCACAGGGCUGAGGUGAGAAUUGGACUCUUUGCCUUUGUAUUCAACUCCCGAUGCAGAGCUCAGGGCCAGAGGUAUAAAAUACAAACUACCCAUAUACCUCACUUAAUGUUAUAUGACUUGUUAAGCUUCAAAGGAAAUGGGAAUACUUUGAAAUUAGUGAAAGGUGCUGUCCCACCAGUCCCUGUGGUCUAGAGUCACAAACUCCUUCUUCACAUGCCCUCAUAUACUCCUCAUGCACACACAAAAGGACUUAUGUCCCUCGAGGAUAAUGACUACUCAGUAUUUUGACUUCAUGUGUCAUUUAUCAAGCAAAAUAUUGGCCUAGGUAGUAUUUGCAUGGUCAGCUUCUGCUCAAGAUGAAGUGGAUUGCUUCUGGCCAGUGUUUUUUUUUUUAUUACUUGCUGUAUGAGUAUCAGAUGGAUGGCAGUUCAUCGCAAUAAUCUAGGACAACUUCAGGGACAAUUUUAAGAUGUACAUGUAUUUUCAUUUAAUUUUUGUUUAAUUUUAUAUUUUGUACUUGCAUCCUACUAAUAUUUAUUUCUUAUUUUAUAUUUUUAUUUCUCACUUUAUAAUCUGGUAAUAAAUGUAAUUUUUGCCAUUUUCACUGCAUUUUAUUUGCUGUUCCUCAAGGCAUUUUAUAUUUCAAGGGAAAGAAUUACAAAAUAAAACGAAAUAAAACAAAGAGAGAAUAAAAGAAAGAAAGAAAAAGCUCUGUCACUGUAUUUCUCCCAGCAAGAAAAA
Molecule: long non-coding RNA, 3926 nt
Organism: Lagopus muta (rock ptarmigan)
Lineage: Eukaryota; Metazoa; Chordata; Aves; Galliformes; Phasianidae
Exons: 11
Source: RefSeq, a predicted model, not a curated record